GUGAAAGAACAAAAGAAGUGAGAAGAAGAACACGCAGGGAAACCAAACGAGAGAGAGAGAGAGACUGCAAAGCUGUGAAAGUAUGUAUUCUAAUAAUUGAACGUAAGAAUGAUUUAUUAAUUUGUAUGCGUGUUAGAUCGCAGAGAGUCUGUGUGUAAGUAUAAAAUAAAACUUCACUAUUGAAUGAGCGAUUAUACACACAUCGUCUCGUCGAGAAAGUUCAAUUAUGCGUAACUCGUUGUAAAGCUUCUAGCUUUUUUGUCCUCCUGUAGCUUUGUCAACGAAGCCCGCGAUCUGUUUCCGAUUCCUUGCUGAACGAUCACACCAUCACUCGUUUGAAGCAAUCGAAGCAUCAUCGAAUGACUGUUUUUUUGGGGUAACUUGAAGUUAAUAAGCGAAAUAAAUGAUCGUCAGAGUGCUGGUUGCUACUUUGAUGGAGCGAAGUGAUGCAUGAGUGAUAGUAAAACUUAACAAGAAAGAGAGGGCGAGAGAAAGUAGUAUGAAAAAAAAGAAUGAAUGCGUAUGAAGACUGUCACGAAUGAUUCUCUGAAGAAAAAAAAAAGAUUCGAAAGAUUCGAAAUACUAGUGAGACCUCUGGUCCGAUCGUGCUGCGCGAGAAUCUAUAUGAUUAGUUGUAGUAUGAUGAUGAUGAUGAUGAUGAUGAUGAUGAUAAUGGUGGUAAUGAUGAUGAUGAUGAUGAUGAUGAAAUGAUGAUGAUGAUGAUGAUAAUAAUGAUGAUGAUGAUGAUGAUGAUGAUGCGUAUGUUACUUUUUCCCCCGUAUGUGAAUGUCUGUUGCUGUUGAUUCAUUAAAAUUAAUAUUUUGCUGGCAUAAGUUAUUGAGUUGUACCGAAGUCCUCGUCCGGCCUGAACGUUCGAGUAAAAAGAAGUGAAAAGAAAAAGAAACUAUACACGAUCCAGUCCCAAAAUAUAUUAAUACAUAUACAAUUAUUCGCAUACAAAUGUAAUCCUGUGCGUGAAAAUAAUUUUAUGCGAUCAUCGUUAAUUCGAAUCUUUCGCGGCUCUCCAACGGAAUAUCGGACGAGAGUCUUUUGCACUGCCAUUAAUAUUGAAACAAUGCUGCAUGCGUCUUGUCCAGGCGUUCAUGUAAUAAGAUCGUUCGUUUCUUCCUUGAUAUUUGAUGGGCUCGAUGAUAUCGAGAACUCGUUUCGCGUGGGUGUUUGUCGAACAGAUUCGUCUUCCUGGCCUCGCAUUAUUGAAGUCGAUGAAAAAGAAAAAAAAAAAAAAUAUAUACAUAUAUAACGAUAGCGAUUGCUCAUUUCUAUUCGCAUUCGUUAUUCCGUAGUAUUGGAAAAUGGAUACACGGUGAUCGCGUAAAUAUCACGAGUAAUUGAAUUUCGAAAGAAAAUGAUUGAUACGAACCCAACGCCCAAAUAUUAUCAGAGUUACUUUCGUAAGCUACUCCAAGAUGAUAAAAUCGAACGAGUUGUACACGAAUAGAUAGAUAAAUUUGUUCGAGAACUUUGGACAUUGGACUGGGAAUAUUUCAAAUGCCUGGUCGCGCAAGGAUUACACAGUUUGAAAUAUGUAUUUCUUUUCUUAUCUACAAUAUUAUAUUUUUCCUCGUUACACGAACAUUUCGAAUCUUGAAAUGAACGAGACGUCACGCGAACAUAGGAAUGUCUCGGGAUCCUUUCACGGCACAGAUAUUUUUCUUAUUUUCUCGAACACUUCCUCGCGAAUUUCCAUAGUUUCGCCUCUGUUUGCGCACGAACGCGAUAUUUAGUAAGAUAUUACGCGAAGAAUUAAACGGACGGUCGGGCGCUCUAAUAAUAUAAUACGAAGUUACGUCACGUGGUCGAAACGUGGCUGUCUAGUGCCAUGCAUUCCAAAUACUUUUGCCAGCGGAAGCACACUGUGACCGUUCUUUCGGAUAUAUUUUAUAGCGAUUUCAUUCUAUCUAACUAACACACAUUUUCCUUGAAUGCCUCGUUUACGCAAAGCUUUACGUACAGACACGAUAGCGAACAGAGAAAGAGAGAGAAAGAGAGAGAAAGAGAGAGAGAGAAAGAGAGAGAGAGAGAGAAUAUUUAUGAUAAUGAUGAGGUUUGAGGGAUGGUGAGAAGAGUUGGCUCGUGAUUCGACGUGAAUCGCGGCGUCACGUUCGGGAAGGGACGAAUCGUCGAUUUGUAAAAAAAAAAAAGAAAUAAAGAAAAAAAAUAAAAGAAGAAACAAAGGAUGGAAAUAAGAAAGAGAAAAGAAAAAAAUAUAAAUUUUGUAUCGUGACGCGGUUGUGAAGAUCGGAGAACCUGUCACUGAAUCCGUUGCCCCUUGCGUUUCGCUGAGAUUUUAGCGCAACUUAAGAGAACGAGAUCACACGCGGACAAAAAAAAAAAAAAAUAAAAAAUAUAAGCAUAUUAUUACGAAUGACAAUGAAGACGAUGACAAACGGCGAUGCGAAACAAGAUGAUUCUCCACGCAGAUAACGCAGAUAAAUUAUUUUUCGAGUGGAUUUCAGCGACGCUUGGCCCAGCGCAGUGUCUCCGUUCUUGAGAAAUAUAUUUCGAACCGCGGUGCCGUUGUACGUACGAGACAAUAUUUUCGAUAAUAUUUUUUAAAUCGAACCGCGAAACACGAAGCCAACCCGUGUAGACCUGUUGUUGUUCCAAAGCAGAGAAAUUGCACGGUGAUGGCAUACGCAUCGAAGAUCGAUCGAUCGUGCGUUAUCUAUAUAGAGCUUCGUGUGUGUACCACGGUUGAUCCGUAUCUUCUCCAUAUUUUUGUUUUUUGCGAUUUUCGACCAAUUGCGUCGGGACAAAGCGUGCCGUUACCGUGCAUACCGUGUGAUUUAAAAAAUAACUAGAGAAUUAAAAGAGAAGCAAACGAAAAAAAAUUAAAUAAAAAAAAUACAAAAAAAGAGGUGAAUAACGAGAGAAAGAGAGAGAGAGAGAGAGAGAAAAAGAGAGGAGAACCGAAAGAAAAGCAAAAAGUGAGCGUGUGAGAUUGACUUUUUUGUGGCGAUAUGUGGAAAAACAGAGAGAGAGAGAGAGAGAGAGAGAGAGAGAGUGCUGUCGAAUGCUGCCGAUCGACGAUCGGACCAAACAUUAUAUAAUUUACGCAUGUGAACAAUUCGAGCGAUAAAUGUGGGUUGAAGCAAAAGCAAGCAAGAAAGCAAGCAAGAAAGAAAGAAAGAAAGAAAGAAAGAAAGAAAGAAAAAACGAAUAAACGAGAACACGAGUUGGAUGAAGUCCUAUUUAGCCUGCCACUUUGUAAUUUGCUCACCCUCUCCAAUUUAUUUCCUAGAGGUUGAUUUUUAGAUCGACCGAACCACUAAUAAAAAAAAGAAAAAAAAGAAAA
RNAcentral lists this long non-coding RNA (3316 nucleotides) under Apis dorsata (giant honeybee). RNAcentral describes it as "uncharacterized LOC102678333". The record is from RNAcentral. Lineage: Eukaryota; Metazoa; Arthropoda; Insecta; Hymenoptera; Apidae.